Molecule: small nucleolar RNA, 75 nt
Organism: Prolemur simus (greater bamboo lemur)
Lineage: Eukaryota; Metazoa; Chordata; Mammalia; Primates; Lemuridae
Gene: SNORD114-12
Product: small nucleolar RNA, C/D box 114-12
Source: Ensembl
UGGACCAAUGAUGACGACUGCCGGCGUAUGAGUCUUGGAUGAUGAAUAAUACGUGUCUGGAACUCUGAGGUCCAA